CCUACGGGAGGCAGCAGUGGGGGAUAUUGCACAAUGGGGGAAACCCUGAUGCAGCGACGCCGCGUGUGGGAAGACGGUCUUCUGGAUUGUAAACCACUGUCCCCAGGGACGAAAAUGACGGUACCUGGGGAGGAAGCUCCGGCUAACUACGUGCCAGCAGCCGCGGUAAUACGUAGGGAGCAAGCGUUUUCCGGAAUUACUGGGUGAAAGGGGAGCGUGGGCGGGGAUGAAAGUUGGGUGUAAAAACUACCGGCUCAACCGAUAGUCGCAUUCAAAACUGCAGCUCUUGAGUGAAGUAGAGGCAGGCGGAAUUCCUAGUGUAGCGGUGAAAUGCGUAGAUAUUAGGAGGAACACCAGUGGCGAAGGCGGCCUGCUGGGCUUUUACUGACGCUGAGGCUCGAAAGUGUGGGGAGCAAACAGGAUUAGAUACCCCAGUAGUC
Molecule: ribosomal RNA, 440 nt
Filed under: uncultured bacterium
Lineage: Bacteria
Description: partial 16S ribosomal RNA
Rfam family: Bacterial small subunit ribosomal RNA
Source: RNAcentral